Long non-coding RNA from Alosa sapidissima (American shad), 84 nucleotides. RefSeq lists it as uncharacterized. Lineage: Eukaryota; Metazoa; Chordata; Actinopteri; Clupeiformes; Clupeidae. The transcript has 3 exons. The record is from RefSeq and is a predicted model, not a curated record.
GGCAGCUUGUGGUGGAAAACAUUUGGAGCAGUUCGCCAAACGAACAGCCAAUCAGCGUUGGUUUGGAGGCGGGUUUAGGUGUGA